AUUGAACGCUGGCGGCAUGCCUUACACAUGCAAGUCGAACGGCAGCACGGGUGCUUGCACCUGGUGGCGAGUGGCGAACGGGUGAGUAAUACAUCGGAACAUGUCCUGUAGUGGGGGAUAGCCCGGCGAAAGCCGGAUUAAUACCGCAUACGAUCUACGGAUGACAGAUGGGGACCUUCGGGCCUCGCGCUAUAGGGUUGGCCGAUGGCUGAUUAGCUAGUUGGUGGGGUAAAGGCCUACCAAGGCGACGAUCAGUAGCUGGUCUGAGAGGACGACCAGCCACACUGGGACUGAGACACGGCCCAGACUCCUACGGGAGGCAGCAGUGGGGAAUUUUGGACAAUGGGCGAAAGCCUGAUCCAGCAAUGCCGCGUGUGUGAAGAAGGCCUUCGGGUUGUAAAGCACUUUUGUCCGGAAAGAAAUCCUUGGCCCUAAUACGGUCGGGGGAUGACGGUACCGGAAGAAUAAGCACCGGCUAACUACGUG
This 486-nucleotide ribosomal RNA is filed under the name uncultured bacterium. Its description in RNAcentral is "partial 16S ribosomal RNA". It matches the Rfam family "Bacterial small subunit ribosomal RNA", at positions 30 to 507 of the family's 1533-position model. The record is from RNAcentral.